AUGUCAUGAUGUGGACACUUCUUAAGCAAGUCAUUUAAGUGCUCCCAUGCCUCAUGAAACAUUUCCCUUUCCCCUUGAGAAAAUUCUCAAAUUGAAAUUCUCAUUAC
Cornus florida is the source of this 107-nucleotide small nucleolar RNA. The record is from RefSeq and is a predicted model, not a curated record. NCBI's taxonomy places the organism in Eukaryota, Viridiplantae, Streptophyta, Magnoliopsida, Cornales, Cornaceae.